Non-coding RNA from Sesamum indicum (sesame), 528 nucleotides. NCBI's taxonomy places the organism in Eukaryota, Viridiplantae, Streptophyta, Magnoliopsida, Lamiales, Pedaliaceae. The record is from RefSeq and is a predicted model, not a curated record.
UCUCACUCUCUCUCUCUCUCUAUCUCUCUCUAUCUCUCUCUCUCUCUACUCUUCAGUUGCCGCCGCCACCAUACGCCGUCGCACUCUUCCUCCGUCCGUCGUCUGGUGCUCUCUCUUUCUGAACAUGUAUUGUGGUACGCCUUCUAUACCACGUGGCCAUGGUUGUGGCCGCGGCCAUGCCCCGUCACUUCCAACAACGCCAUGUGAUGCUUCUUAGGUUGGGAAAACAAUUUCUCAACCACCCGCAACACCUAACACGGUCGGACCAUCAUCAGCCCCGCUAACUCCAAACGAUGUUGGACCAUCUAGAGAUGCACCGACAAUUGAGGAGGCCAUACAGUAGUUUGCCACUCCAGCAGAUGCUCCACCACCACCACCAGCAGUCCCCCCACCACCAACUCGCUAGUACAUCAGCGUCAACGACGGAAGGUCUGACAGCUGCUUCUACGAGCGCAUCAAUGAGGUGGUGCGGGGACACUUUCCUUACCUGUAGCCAUGUCUGAGGCAGGUGCCGUCAGAACACCAACA